RNAcentral lists this ribosomal RNA (253 nucleotides) under uncultured bacterium. RNAcentral describes it as "partial 16S ribosomal RNA". It matches the Rfam family "Bacterial small subunit ribosomal RNA", at positions 524 to 776 of the family's 1533-position model. The record is from RNAcentral.
UACGGGGGGGGCAAGCGUUGUUCGGAAUUACUGGGCGUAAAGGGCUCGUAGGCGGCCAACUAAGUCGGACGUGAAAUCCCUCGGCUUAACCGGGGAACUGCGUCCGAUACUGGAUGGCUUGAGAUCGGGAGAGGGAUGCGGAAUUCCAGGUGUAGCGGUGAAAUGCGUAGAUAUCUGGAGGAACACCGGUGGUGAAGGCGACAUCCUGGACUGACACUGAUGUUGAGGAGCGAAAGCCAGGGGAGCAAACGGG